AGAGUUUGAUCCUGGCUCAGGAUGAACGCUGGCGGCGUGCUUAACACAUGCAAGUCGAGCGAAGCACUUUUUUAGAACUCUUCGGAGGGAAGAGAGGGUGACUUAGCGGCGGACGGGUGAGUAACGCGUGGGCAACCUGCCUUACACAGGGGGAUAACAAUUAGAAAUGAUUGCUAAUACCGCAUAAGACCCCAGUACCGCAUGGUACAGGGGUAAAAACUGAGGUGGUGUAAGAUGGGCCCGCGUCUGAUUAGGUAGUUGGUGGGGUAGAAGCCUACCAAGCCGACGAUCAGUAGCCGACCUGAGAGGGCGACCGGCCACAUUGGGACUGAGACACGGCCCAAACUCCUACGGGAGGCAGCAGUGGGGAAUAUUGCACAAUGGGGGAAACCCUGAUGCAGCGACGCCGCGUGAGUGAGGAAGUAUUUCGGUAUGUAAAGCUCUAUCAGCAGGGAAGAAAAUGACGGUACCUGACUAAGAAGCCCCGGCUAACUACGUGCCAGCAGCCGCGGUAAUACGUAGGGGGCAAGCGUUAUCCGGAUUUACUGGGUGUAAAGGGAGCGUAGACGGAAUUGCAAGUCUGAUGUGAAAAUCCGGGGCCCAACCCCGGAACUGCAUUGGAAACUGUAUUUCUAGAGUGUCGGAGAGGCAAGUGGAAUUCCUGGUGUAGCGGUGAAAUGCGUAGAUAUCAGGAGGAACACCAGUGGCGAAGGCGGCUUGCUGGACGAUGACUGACGUUGAGGCUCGAAAGC
This 752-nucleotide ribosomal RNA is filed under the name uncultured bacterium. RNAcentral describes it as "bacterial SSU rRNA". It matches the Rfam family "Bacterial small subunit ribosomal RNA", at positions 8 to 760 of the family's 1533-position model. The record is from RNAcentral.